UUGUCAUAGAAUCCAUGGAAAAUAUAAAAUGACCAGUGGCUUUGUAAUAAUCCAGUAAUUAAAAAAAUUAUUAUGUAAUAUUAUGUUUUAAUGAUAAUUGUAUUAAUUCAUGGAACAAGUAUGACAAGAAAGAAAGUCGGUGCAGUGGUAGCUGUACAAGCAUCCUCUCGAUAAGUCUCAAGCUCGAAUGGCUAAAGGGAGAUUUUUUAUCCUCUUUAUUUUAUGAAAUUACUGAAUUAUGUUUCUUGAAAUCUGAAUAUAUUUCCUCCUCUUGCUCGAUUUUUCUAGAUCUUGGAGGAGAGAGAAGAGCUGAUUCAUCCAUUUCUCCAUCUUUCCCCUGCACUUCAUCUCUUCCCUCCCGUUCCUGGUGGUCGCUGGCAGAAGUAGAGCCUCGUCAAAGCUGUGCAAAGCUCAGGAGCUGUUGGUUUUGCCAUCGCGAGCUUGAUCUGCUGCUGUUAAUUCAAUUUCUUCUCUCUUUUACGAGCUGUGUUCGGUUUCCCUCUCCCCUGUGCAGCCAUCUAAACCAUCUCCUUUCUUCUUGCUUUCUACCGUGGAUUUAAGCUGUGAAUUUGUCUUCUCUUUUUCUUCGGCUAGCAGUGCCUCUUGUUCUCUUCUUCCUCUGCUAUUAUUGGGGAUUAAGGUGAGAAUUAUUGAGCAUUACUUCUUAACAGCAUGUGGGAGUUAAAGAGUAAGUUGAUGAGUAAAAUUAUAGAAAUUUUUAUACUUGCUCUGUUGCUGCCCGUACUGAUGAAAGUAGGAGAAGAUUUAAAUUUGAGUUGGGAAUUUAUCUUAAAGUUUGAUAAUAAUAUUUACACACAGAGACAUGU
Long non-coding RNA from Prosopis cineraria, 827 nucleotides. RefSeq lists it as uncharacterized. NCBI's taxonomy places the organism in Eukaryota, Viridiplantae, Streptophyta, Magnoliopsida, Fabales, Fabaceae. The transcript is spliced from 3 exons. The record is from RefSeq and is a predicted model, not a curated record.